AAAAAAAAACUAAAUUAAGUGGUCGAGCUUUCAUAUUGAUGCAAAUAGCUUUACUCCUAGUGCUGUUAGGAUUAAAAUGUUUGAAUCAAUAUUGAACAGAUGUGAACAUACAAAAUGUAGAUCGUCUUUGAUUUUGUUUUGUUUUGUUAUAAUGUUUAUUUGGGGUCAUGUCGCUUAAACAUUACCCAGUAAACACCUGACGUCGUACCGAUGUUGGUUAGACGUUGGAUUUUGGUCGCGACGUCGGCGACCUGAAUCCAACGUCUAACCAACGUCAUAUCCACGACGUCUAAUAGACGUCAGACUUAGACGUCUAGAAGACGUUGGCAUUAGGUUGGAUAGAAAGUCUGAUAAAUGUUUUUAGUUAUAAAACUAACUGGUAUAAUUUUACUAGUAUAGUUUAAAGAUAUUUACUUGUUUUCAUAAAGGCCUGGACAUGCGCUUAUUAAUAAUAGUUCUUUCUCACAACAAACAUUAUAUUAAUUAUGUUACAAUAUCGCAUGAGAUUGUCUAUUUUCGGAGACGGAUUUUUUACGAACUUUAAACUGUUAAAGAUUAAAUGCAUUCUAUACACAUAUAUAAAUUAUUCUAAAUUCACAUAGAUCUUCUCUUCUACACAUGUUGUCUAUCAGUCACACAUUCGCGAGAUAAGCCUGCAUCGGUUUACACAGUCUUCCUGUAAUUUGAUAUUUAUUGGGAUAAGAUAGAGCAAGUUUAUAAAUACUUUACACAAAGGGAAGGAUCCGCAACGUGGAAAUGUUGGCGGAGUUGAAGAAUCAUACAAAAAUGACGAAACUUGAAAGUUUCAAUUACUGCAUUACUUUUUGGACUUAUUGUAUUAGACUUACGUCGCCAUAAUAUGAAAUAAAGAUGAUAAAAUACA
Long non-coding RNA from Mercenaria mercenaria, 883 nucleotides. RefSeq lists it as uncharacterized. The transcript is spliced from 2 exons. The record is from RefSeq and is a predicted model, not a curated record. NCBI's taxonomy places the organism in Eukaryota, Metazoa, Mollusca, Bivalvia, Venerida, Veneridae.